UGUCGUCAGCUCGUGUCGUGAGAUGUUGGGUUAAGUCCCGCAACGAGCGCAACCCUUGAUUUUAGUUGCCAGCAUUUAGUUGGGCACUCUAAAGUGACUGCCGGUGCAAGCCGGAGGAAGGUGGGGAUGACGUCAAAUCAUCAUGCCCCUUAUGACCUGGGCUACACACGUGCUACAAUGGAUAGUACAAAGGGUCGCGAAGCCGCGAGGUGGAGCUAAUCCCAUAAAACUAUUCUCAGUUCGGAUUGUAGGCUGCAACUCGCCUACAUGAAGCCGGAAUCGCUAGUAAUCGUGGAUCAGCAUGCCACGGUGAAUACGUUCCCGGGCCUUGUACACACCGCCCGUCACACCACGAGAGUUUGUAACACCCGAAGUCGGUAGGGUAACCUUUAUGGAGCCAGCCGCCGAAGGUGGGACAGAUAAUUGGGGUGAAGUCGUAACAAGGUAGCCGUAUCGGAAGGUGCGGCUGGAUCACCUCCUUU
RNAcentral lists this ribosomal RNA (482 nucleotides) under Listeria monocytogenes. RNAcentral's name for it is "bacterial SSU rRNA". It matches the Rfam family "Bacterial small subunit ribosomal RNA", at positions 1050 to 1533 of the family's 1533-position model. The record is from RNAcentral. Lineage: Bacteria; Bacillati; Bacillota; Bacilli; Caryophanales; Listeriaceae.